UACGGAGGGGACUAGCGUUGUUCGGAAUUACUGGGCGUAAAGCGCUCGUAGGCGGAUUUGUAAGUCGGGGGUGAAAUCCCGGGGCUCAACCUCGGAACUGCCUUCGAUACUGCAAAUCUCGAGUCCGGAAGAGGUGAGUGGAAUUCCUAGUGUAGAGGUGAAAUUCGUAGAUAUUAGGAAGAACACCGGUGGCGAAGGCGGCCCACUGGUCCGGUACUGACGCUGAGGUGCGAAAGCGUGGGGAGCAAACAGG
Molecule: ribosomal RNA, 253 nt
Filed under: uncultured bacterium
Lineage: Bacteria
Description: partial 16S ribosomal RNA
Rfam family: Bacterial small subunit ribosomal RNA
Source: RNAcentral